UGCCAUACAGUUGAUGGAUCACCAAAUUC
This 29-nucleotide non-coding RNA is filed under the name Rattus norvegicus (Norway rat). Lineage: Eukaryota; Metazoa; Chordata; Mammalia; Rodentia; Muridae. The record is from RNAcentral.